This 447-nucleotide ribosomal RNA is filed under the name uncultured bacterium. RNAcentral describes it as "bacterial SSU rRNA". It matches the Rfam family "Bacterial small subunit ribosomal RNA", at positions 355 to 825 of the family's 1533-position model. The record is from RNAcentral.
UGGGGAAUCUUGGACAAUGGGCGAAAGCCUGACCCAGCAACGCCGCGUGAAGGAUGAAGUAUUUCGGUAUGUAAACUUCGAAAGAAUAGGAAGAAUAAAUGACGGUACUAUUUAUAAGGUCCGGCUAACUACGUGCCAGCAGCCGCGGUAAUACGUAGGGACCAAGCGUUGUUCGGAUUUACUGGGCGUAAAGGGCGCGUAGGCGGCAAUUCAAGUCAUCUGUGAAAUCUCCGGGCUUAACUCGGAACGGUCAGAUGAUACUGCUUUGCUAGAGUGCAGAAGGGGCAAUCGGAAUUCUUGGUGUAGCGGUGAAAUGCGUAGAUAUCAAGAGGAACACCUGAGGUGAAGACGGGUUGCUGGGCUGACACUGACGCUGAGGUACGAAAGCGUGGGGAGCAAACAGGAUUAGAUACCCAGGUAGUCCCUGAGCGGGCUGGCAAGGCGCAU